GACGAACGCUGGCGGCGUGCCUAAUACAUGCAAGUUGAGCGAUGAAGAUUGGUGCUUGCACCAAUUUGAAGAGCAGCGAACGGGUGAGUAACGCGUGGGGAAUCUGCCUUUGAGCGGGGGACAACAUUUGGAAACGAAUGCUAAUACCGCAUAAUAACUUUAAGCAUAAGUUUUAAGUUUGAAAGAUGCAAUUGCAUCACUCAAAGAUGAUCCCGCGUUGUAUUAGCUAGUUGGUGAGGUAAAGGCUCACCAAGGCGAUGAUACAUAGCCGACCUGAGAGGGUGAUCGGCCACAUUGGGACUGAGACACGGCCCAAACUCCUACGGGAGGCAGCAGUAGGGAAUCUUCGGCAAUGGACGAAAGUCUGACCGAGCAACGCCGCGUGAGUGAAGAAGGUUUUCGGAUCGUAAAACUCUGUUGGUAGAGAAGAACGUUGGUGAGAGUGGAAAGCUCAUCAAGUGACGGUAACUACCCAGAAAGGGGCGGCUAACUACGUG
This 497-nucleotide ribosomal RNA is filed under the name uncultured bacterium. RNAcentral's name for it is "partial 16S ribosomal RNA". It matches the Rfam family "Bacterial small subunit ribosomal RNA", at positions 28 to 507 of the family's 1533-position model. The record is from RNAcentral.